RNAcentral lists this ribosomal RNA (443 nucleotides) under uncultured Sphingomonadaceae bacterium. Its description in RNAcentral is "bacterial SSU rRNA". It matches the Rfam family "Bacterial small subunit ribosomal RNA", at positions 338 to 798 of the family's 1533-position model. The record is from RNAcentral. Lineage: Bacteria; Pseudomonadati; Pseudomonadota; Alphaproteobacteria; Sphingomonadales; Sphingomonadaceae.
CCUACGGGUGGCAGCAGUGGGGAAUAUUGGACAAUGGGCGAAAGCCUGAUCCAGCAAUGCCGCGUGAGUGAUGAAGGCCUUAGGGUUGUAAAGCUCUUUUACCCGGGAAGAUAAUGACUGUACCGGGAGAAUAAGCCCCGGCUAACUCCGUGCCAGCAGCCGCGGUAAUACGGAGGGGGCUAGCGUUGUUCGGAAUUACUGGGCGUAAAGCGCGCGUAGGCGGCUAUUCAAGUCAGAGGUGAAAGCCUGGAGCUUAACUCCAGAACUGCCUUUGAAACUAGAUAGCUAGAAUCAUGGAGAGGUGAGUGGAAUUCCGAGUGUAGAGGUGAAAUUCGUAGAUAUUCGGAAGAACACCAGUGGCGAAGGCGGCUCACUGGACAUGUAUUGACGCUGAGGUGCGAAAGCGUGGGGAGCAAACAGGAUUAGAUACCCGGGUAGUCCAG